GAAAUGCGAUAAGUAAUGUGAAUUACAGAAUUCAGUGAAUCAUCGAAUCUUUGAACGCACCUUGCGCUCCUUGGUAUUCCGAGGAGCAUGCCUGUUUGAGUGUCAUGGAAUUCUCAACUCUAUUUGCUUUUGUGAAUAGAGCUUGGAUUUGGAGGUUUAUUGCUGGUACUUGUGAUCGGCUCCUCUUGAAUGCAUUAGCUCGAACCUUUGCGGAUCAGCUAUCGGUGUGAUAAUUGUCUACGCCGUUGCAGUGAAGC
This 257-nucleotide unclassified non-coding RNA is filed under the name plant metagenome. RNAcentral's name for it is "partial contains 5.8S ribosomal RNA and internal transcribed spacer 2". The stretch from base 1 to 105 matches the Rfam family "5.8S ribosomal RNA", at positions 50 to 154 of the family's 154-position model. The record is from RNAcentral.